GAUGAACGCUGGCGGCGUGCUUAACACAUGCAAGUCGAACGGGAAACCUUUUAAUGCAGCUUCGGCAGAUUUAGCUGGUUUCUAGUGGCGGACGGGUGAGUAACGCGUGGGUAACCUGCCUUAUACAGGGGGAUAACAGUCAGAAAUGACUGCUAAUACCGCAUAAGCGCACAGGACCGCAUGGUCCGGUGUGAAAAACUCCGGUGGUAUAAGAUGGACCCGCGUUGGAUUAGCUUGUUGGUGGGGUAACGGCUCACCAAGGCGACGAUCCAUAGCCGGCCUGAGAGGGUGAACGGCCACAGUGGGACUGAGACACGGCCCAGACUCCUACGGGAGGCAGCAGUGGGGAAUAUUGCACAAUGGGGGAAACCCUGAUGCAGCGACGCCGCGUGAAGGAAGAAGUAUCUCGGUAUGUAAACUUCUAUCAGCAGGGAAGAUAGUGACGGUACCUGACUAAGAAGCCCCGGCUAACUACGUG
RNAcentral lists this ribosomal RNA (478 nucleotides) under uncultured bacterium. RNAcentral describes it as "partial 16S ribosomal RNA". It matches the Rfam family "Bacterial small subunit ribosomal RNA", at positions 28 to 507 of the family's 1533-position model. The record is from RNAcentral.